RNAcentral lists this ribosomal RNA (301 nucleotides) under uncultured bacterium. Its description in RNAcentral is "partial 16S ribosomal RNA". It matches the Rfam family "Bacterial small subunit ribosomal RNA", at positions 509 to 807 of the family's 1533-position model. The record is from RNAcentral.
CAGCCGCCACGGUAAAACGGAGGGUGCAAGCGUUAAUCGGAAUUACUGGGCGUAAAGCGCACGCAGGCGGUCUGACAAGUCAGAUGUGAAAUCCCCGGGCUUAACCUGGGAACUGCAUUUGAAACUGUCAGGCUGGAGUCUUGUAGAGGGGGGUAGAAUUCCAGGUGUAGCGGUGAAAUGCGUAGAGAUCUGGAGGAAUACCGGUGGCGAAGGCGGCCCCCUGGACAAAGACUGACGCUCAGGUGCGAAAGCGUGGGGAGCAAACAGGAUUAGAUACCCCUGUAGUCCCUGUCUCUUAUAC